UGGGGACCGGAGGCUUGUGGUGCCAGGAGGGACCAGAGACUGAGGCUGGAGACCAGGGGCCUGCAGCACCGGACCAGAGGACCAGGAAUCUAUUUCUGGGGGAGCCGUGCUGAAGGAGCUGCUGGAGGAGUCGUGCUGAGGGCCUGCCUGCUGGUGGAGAAGUCGUGCUGAGGGCCUGCCUGCUGGAGGAGCUGGUGGAGGAGUCGUGCUGAGGGCCUGCCUGGUGGAGGAGCUGGUGGAGGCCCUGCCUGGUGAAGGACGUCUGUCGUGGGACCAGGAAUCUGUCUGAGGAGAGCUGCUGGAUUCCUCAACGUGUUUCUGGAGCGGAGGCGAGCUGGUAGGGGAGCCAUGAAUCUGGAGGAUGACCAUCACUCUACCAACAAGGAUUGUAAGUCUGUAUUAACCUAACAAAGUGGAAAUAAAGGGCUUAAAAAUAAGACAAACUACAUGUUUUUUUACCAGACGUUGGGGCCAGACUCGCGCUGUUUGUUCCAGACCAGGACUCGGGCUGUGGUGAGCUGAUGGAGGAGCCAAGACUCUGGAGGACGACAUCACUCCACCAACCAGGAUCCUCACCAGGAAUCUGGAGGACUGAUGGAGAAGCCGUAC
This is a long non-coding RNA of Gadus morhua (Atlantic cod), 609 nucleotides long. RefSeq lists it as uncharacterized. NCBI's taxonomy places the organism in Eukaryota, Metazoa, Chordata, Actinopteri, Gadiformes, Gadidae. The transcript has 5 exons. The record is from RefSeq and is a predicted model, not a curated record.